AUUGAACGCUGGCGGCAGGCCUAACACAUGCAAGUCGAGCGGCAGCGACUUAACUGAACCUUCGGGGAACGUUAAGGGCGGCGAGCGGCGGACGGGUGAGUAAUGCCUGGGAAUAUGCCCUGAUGUGGGGGAUAACUAUUGGAAACGAUAGCUAAUACCGCAUAAUCUCUUCGGAGCAAAGAGGGGGACCUUCGGGCCUCUCGCGUCAGGAUUAGCCCAGGUGGGAUUAGCUUGUUGGUGAGGUAAUGGCUCACCAAGGCAACGAUCCCUAGCUGGUCUGAGAGGAUGAUCAGCCACACUGGAACUGAGACACGGUCCAGACUCCUACGGGAGGCAGCAGUGGGGAAUAUUGCACAAUGGGGGAAACCCUGAUGCAGCCAUGCCGCGUGUGUGAAGAAGGCCUUCGGGUUGUAAAGCACUUUCAGUAGGGAGGAAGGUAGUGUAGUUAACACCUGCAUUAUUUGACGUUACCUACAGAAGAAGCACCGGCUAACUCCGUGCCAGCAGCCGCGGUAAUACGGAGGGUGCGAGCGUUAAUCGGAAUUACUGGGCGUAAAGCGCAUGCAGGCGGCCUGUUAAGUCAGAUGUGAAAGCCCGGGGCUUAACCUCGGAAUUGCAUUUGAAACUGGCAGGCUAGAGUCUUGUAGAGGGGGGUAGAAUUUCAGGUGUAGCGGUGAAAUGCGUAGAGAUCUGAAGGAAUACCAGUGGCGAAGCGGCCCCCUGGACAAAGACUGACGCUCAGAUGCGAAAGCGUGGGGAGCAAACAG
RNAcentral lists this ribosomal RNA (767 nucleotides) under uncultured bacterium. Its description in RNAcentral is "bacterial SSU rRNA". It matches the Rfam family "Bacterial small subunit ribosomal RNA", at positions 28 to 775 of the family's 1533-position model. The record is from RNAcentral.